Molecule: small RNA, 490 nt
Filed under: Pan troglodytes (chimpanzee)
Lineage: Eukaryota; Metazoa; Chordata; Mammalia; Primates; Hominidae
Description: processed transcript
Source: RNAcentral
CAAACCAAGAUGGAGUAUGAGUGGAAACCUGACGAGCAAGGGCUCCAGCAAAUCCUGCAGUUGUUGAAGGAGUCCCAGUCCCCAGACACCACCAUCCAGAGAACCGUGCAACAAAAACUGGAACAACUUAAUCAGUAUCCAGACUUUAACAACUACUUGAUUUUUGUUCUUACAAAAUUAAAAUCUGAAGAUGAACCCACAAGAUCAUUGAGUGGUCUUAUCUUGAAGAAUAAUGUGAAAGCACACUUUCAGAACUUCCCAAAUGGUGUAACAGACUUUAUUAAAAGUGAAUGUUUAAAUAAUAUUGGUGACUCCUCUCCUCUGAUUAGAGCCACUGUUGGUAUUUUGAUCACAACUAUAGCCUCCAAGGGAGAAUUGCAGAAUUGGCCUGACCUCUUACCAAAACUCUGUAGCCUGUUGGAUUCUGAAGAUUAUAAUACCUGUGAGGGUCUCACUCUGUUUCCCAGGCUGGAGUGCAGUGACACCAUCA